UGAGGAAUUUUCGUCAAUGGGGGAAACCCUGAACGAGCAACGCCGCGUGGAGGACGAAGACCCUCGGGUUGUAAACUCCUGUCGGACGGGACGAAAGUUACCGAGGUUAAUACCCUUGGUAGUUGACGGUACCGUACGAGGAAGCCCCGGCUAACUUCGUGCCAGCAGCCGCGGUAAUACGAGGGGGGCAAGCGUUGUUCGGAAUUACUGGGCGUAAAGGGCGCGUAGGCGGUUUGGCAAGUCUUCCGUGAAAGCCCACGGCUCAACCGUGGAACUGCGGGAGAAACUGCCAGACUUGAGUCCGGGAGGGGGGAGUGGAAUUCCCAGUGUAGCGGUGAAAUGCGCAGAUAUUGGGAGGAACACCGGAGGCGAAGGCGUCUCCCUGGACCGGUACUGACGCUGAGGCGCGAAAGCCAGGGGAGCAAACGGGAUUAGAUACCCCCGUAGUCC
RNAcentral lists this ribosomal RNA (450 nucleotides) under uncultured prokaryote. RNAcentral describes it as "bacterial SSU rRNA". It matches the Rfam family "Bacterial small subunit ribosomal RNA", at positions 355 to 796 of the family's 1533-position model. The record is from RNAcentral.